GAAAGCGUGGGUAGCAANCAGGAUUAGAUACCCUGGUAGUCCACGCCCUAAACGAUGUCGAUUAGCUGUUGGGCAGCUUGACUGCUUAGUAGCGUAGCUAACGCGUGAAAUCGACCGCCUGGGGAGUACGGUCGCAAGAUUAAAACUCAAAGGAAUUGACGGGGACCCGCACAAGCGGUGGAUGAUGUGGAUUAAUUCGAUGCAACGCGAAGAACCUUACCUGGUCUUGACAUGUACGGAACCCUCCAGAGACGGAGGGGUGCCUUCGGGAACCGUAACACAGGUGCUGCAUGACUGUCGUCAGCUCGUGUCGUGAGAUGUUGGGUUAAGUCCCGCAACGAGCGCAACCCUUGUCAUUAGUUGCCAUCAUUCAGUUGGGUACUCUAAUGAGACUGCCGGUGACAAACCGGAGGAAGGUGGGGAUGACGUCAAGUCCUCAUGGCCCUUAUGACCAGGGCUUCACACGUCAUACAAUGGUCGGUACAAAGGGUAGCCAAGCCGCGAGGCGGAGCCAAUCUCAUAAAACCGAUCGUAGUCCGGAUUGCACUCUGCAACUCGAGUGCAUGAAGUCGGAAUCGCUAGUAAUCGCAGGUCAGCAUACUGCGGUGAGUACGUUCCCGGGUCUUGUACACACCGCCCGUCACACCAUGGGAGUGGGGGAUACCAGA
RNAcentral lists this ribosomal RNA (668 nucleotides) under uncultured bacterium. RNAcentral's name for it is "bacterial SSU rRNA". It matches the Rfam family "Bacterial small subunit ribosomal RNA", at positions 755 to 1424 of the family's 1533-position model. The record is from RNAcentral.